RNAcentral lists this ribosomal RNA (943 nucleotides) under Campylobacter jejuni. Its description in RNAcentral is "bacterial SSU rRNA". It matches the Rfam family "Bacterial small subunit ribosomal RNA", at positions 587 to 1533 of the family's 1533-position model. Lineage: Bacteria; Pseudomonadati; Campylobacterota; Epsilonproteobacteria; Campylobacterales; Campylobacteraceae. The record is from RNAcentral.
GUCUCUUGUGAAAUCUAAUGGCUUAACCAUUAAACUGCUUGGGAAACUGAUAGUCUAGAGUGAGGGAGAGGCAGAUGGAAUUGGUGGUGUAGGGGUAAAAUCCGUAGAUAUCACCAAGAAUACCCAUUGCGAAGGCGAUCUGCUGGAACUCAACUGACGCUAAGGCGCGAAAGCGUGGGGAGCAAACAGGAUUAGAUACCCUGGUAGUCCACGCCCUAAACGAUGUACACUAGUUGUUGGGGUGCUAGUCAUCUCAGUAAUGCAGCUAACGCAUUAAGUGUACCGCCUGGGGAGUACGGUCGCAAGAUUAAAACUCAAAGGAAUAGACGGGGACCCGCACAAGCGGUGGAGCAUGUGGUUUAAUUCGAAGAUACGCGAAGAACCUUACCUGGGCUUGAUAUCCUAAGAACCUUAUAGAGAUAUGAGGGUGCUAGCUUGCUAGAACUUAGAGACAGGUGCUGCACGGCUGUCGUCAGCUCGUGUCGUGAGAUGUUGGGUUAAGUCCCGCAACGAGCGCAACCCACGUAUUUAGUUGCUAACGGUUCGGCCGAGCACUCUAAAUAGACUGCCUUCGUAAGGAGGAGGAAGGUGUGGACGACGUCAAGUCAUCAUGGCCCUUAUGCCCAGGGCGACACACGUGCUACAAUGGCAUAUACAAUGAGACGCAAUACCGCGAGGUGGAGCAAAUCUAUAAAAUAUGUCCCAGUUCGGAUUGUUCUCUGCAACUCGAGAGCAUGAAGCCGGAAUCGCUAGUAAUCGUAGAUCAGCCAUGCUACGGUGAAUACGUUCCCGGGUCUUGUACUCACCGCCCGUCACACCAUGGGAGUUGAUUUCACUCGAAGCCGGAAUACUAAACUAGUUACCGUCCACAGUGGAAUCAGCGACUGGGGUGAAGUCGUAACAAGGUAACCGUAGGAGAACCUGCGGUUGGAUCACCUCCUUU